AGUGGCGGACGGGUGAGUAACGCGUGGGUAACCUGCCCUGUACAGGGGGAGUAACAGCUGGAAACGGCUGCUAAUACCGCAUAAGCGCACGAGGAGACAUCUCCUUGUGUGAAAAACUCCGGUGGUACAGGAUGGGCCCGCGUCUGAUUAGCUGGUUGGCAGGGUAACGGCCUACCAAGGCAACGAUCAGUAGCCGGUCUGAGAGGAUGAACGGCCACAUUGGAACUGAGACACGGUCCAAACUCCUACGGGAGGCAGCAUG
This 262-nucleotide ribosomal RNA is filed under the name uncultured bacterium. RNAcentral describes it as "partial 16S ribosomal RNA". It matches the Rfam family "Bacterial small subunit ribosomal RNA", at positions 94 to 353 of the family's 1533-position model. The record is from RNAcentral.